RNAcentral lists this long non-coding RNA (1061 nucleotides) under Melopsittacus undulatus (budgerigar). RNAcentral describes it as "lncRNA (ENSMUNG00000021072.1)". The record is from RNAcentral. Lineage: Eukaryota; Metazoa; Chordata; Aves; Psittaciformes; Psittaculidae.
CCUCAAGUCCUCGACAGGACCUGCCCAAGAGCUCAGCUACCGCGAGGAGGUGACUCACCGGGGGCGGAGACAGGAGGAGUGGCACCAACUGUGAGUAGUUAAAAACCUACCCAGGGAGCGCGGCGACCAGAGCGGGUCGAGGCAGUUUGCGCAAGCAGGCGAGCAGGAUGGUGAGCACUCGCCGUACGACCAGGGUCUGAUCUGGGAGCUCUGCCUUGGCUGACCCGGUGGUGGCCAGCGUAGGCACCCAGACAGAGCCGUUCACAGGACUGCAACAUGUCUUCUGAAGUAGAUGACGAAGAAACAAACAUCCAUGGGAUCAUCUGCUUAGGUCUGAUCCUCUGGUUUUGUGGCUGCCUCUUGGAAUUCAACAGAUACCUAUGCAACAGUAAGGAAAAGAAGUGAGCAAAGGAGAUAUGAGGACACUCCAGUACUUCCUCAAGGAGUCAAGCACCUGUCAAGUUGUAUUGUUGAUACACCCCAGCAAUGAGACACUACAAAAGCUGUUCAAAGAAGAACAUAUUUUUCCUGAGCAUUGUUCUGGGGAAAAAAACCCACAACCUCAAAGCGAAUCUUUUCAGGUGGCAAUAAGGAACCCCAAGGGAAUAUUCAAGAAUCCUUAGUGUGUUUAGAGUUUUAUUGCAGGAAAACGGUAUGAUGUUCUUUCUCUAGCACUUACUUGCAGUAAAAGAACAUCACGAUCAUACAGAAGAGUCUUCCCGUUUUCAGCUCCGAUGCCUGCUCCUGCAGUGCUCUCCGGCAACCUGGAGUGGCAGUGGCAGGGACUGUCCAGCUCAGCACCUCAGUGAAGACUCUUGAGAGACUGUAGCUGCCAAACUGCGGUGAGGCACUACUGAGCAUGUACAAAAAGUGGUUCUCAUAAAGGACUUAUCUUUGCGGCAGUUCAUCAAGGAGAUUACGAAAGGCUCACACCUAUCACAGAAGCCAUUUUACUGCCAAAUUUAAAGUCCCUCACCUGCAUUAAAAAUACAUAUGAGCAUCUCAAUAAUUUUAGUAUUUUAAGCAAUACAACAAUUUGGGAUAAAUGCAUUGAAAAGAAG